Long non-coding RNA from Hermetia illucens (black soldier fly), 424 nucleotides. RefSeq lists it as uncharacterized. The transcript is spliced from 4 exons. The record is from RefSeq and is a predicted model, not a curated record. Lineage: Eukaryota; Metazoa; Arthropoda; Insecta; Diptera; Stratiomyidae.
CAUUAGCUGCGCACGCAGAGUACAUGAUGACCAGCGCGGUGAAUAUCUCUCCCUCCGACUGUUGAGCGUUUACCUGUCAAAACGGAGGAGUCAAAAGCGAAGGCGAUCAAAAGUUAGACGCAAACCUCAAACGGUACGUUUUGCGAGGCUCGCGAGCGUUGUGAACUUCAAACGGCACUCACCUAUUGUAACAUUCUCCCUUAUGCAGCAACGCAAUGGAAUCAAACUUGAAGGACGGUGUAUAGACAUAAGGUAUUAAAAUGCCCUCAGGGGCCGUCCACGAUCCUUAACAGGUCGCUUACGAUACAGGGAGUGGCGUUCCCGACGUGCCCGACUAUGCGCGAAUAGAAAACUACACACUGGGAGUUUUUCACAUAAUAUGAACGCAAAAUCUUUUACCCGAAGCGCCCCGCUUCCGGUGUCC